This 271-nucleotide ribosomal RNA is filed under the name uncultured bacterium. RNAcentral describes it as "partial 16S ribosomal RNA". It matches the Rfam family "Bacterial small subunit ribosomal RNA", at positions 524 to 794 of the family's 1533-position model. The record is from RNAcentral.
UACGUAGGGUGCAAGCGUUAAUCGGAAUUACUGGGCGUAAAGCGCGCGCAGGCGGUUUUGUAAGCCAGAUGUGAAAGCCCCGGGCUCAACCUGGGAACUGCGUUUGGAACUACAAGACUAGAGUGUGUCAGAGGGGGGUGGAAUUCCGCGUGUAGCAGUGAAAUGCGUAGAGAUGCGGAGGAACACCAAUGGCGAAGGCAGCUACCUGGCCUAUAACUGACGCUGAGGUGCGAAAGCGUGGGGAGCAAACGGGAUUAGAAACCCGUGUAGU